Molecule: non-coding RNA, 456 nt
Filed under: Pan troglodytes (chimpanzee)
Lineage: Eukaryota; Metazoa; Chordata; Mammalia; Primates; Hominidae
Source: RNAcentral
CGCCCACAGCCCGGCCCGAGUCGCGGGGCCCGAGCGACAGCGACGGCGCCGGCCGGGGCCGCGGCGCGCGGAAGCCACUUUGCACGGUCAGCGCCGGGCACAAGUUUGUUCCGCGGCUCCCGGGGGCCUGGGCGCUGAGGGAGAAUCGCGCUGAGGUGGCCAGGAGGAGGGGGAGAGGGAGGCGCCGAAGGGCACAAGAGUGGGGAAAAGUGCGGAAAGAAGCAACAGCCGCUCCACCCGGGACCAGAAAAGUGGCCAGCGCGUCCCGGCCGCCCGCCCUGCGCCGGGGAUGCGGCGGCGCCGGCGCCGGCUAACGGUCCAGGGAGGCGGCAGGGGCGGCGGGAGCCGCUAGGCGGAGAGAGACCAGGGACGCCUGGUUUCCCCCCAAGCGAACCGGGAUGGGAAGUGACUUCAAUGAGAUUGAACUUCAGCUGGAUUGAAAGAGAGGCUAGAAGU